RNAcentral lists this small RNA (724 nucleotides) under Histoplasma capsulatum var. duboisii H88. RNAcentral's name for it is "Histoplasma capsulatum H88 hypothetical RNA". The record is from RNAcentral. Lineage: Eukaryota; Fungi; Ascomycota; Eurotiomycetes; Onygenales; Ajellomycetaceae.
GAGGGGAGGGGGUCGGCGGUGUGAUGGUAUUGUAGUUGGCGGGAUUGCUGGGUUUGGCCCUUGGCCCGUCGCGGAAAGGCCACCAAUAUCGGCUGAGGUUGUGCCGGUUGUAAUGGCAGAGGUAACGGCUGCUGAGGCUGAGUUCGCGUAGUCUAAUGUGUGCCCGUGCAUACUUUCGUAGGUGGUCUGGUUGCGGGAUAUCUGGACAAGUUGGACGACACACAGCAUGCUCACCCAUAUAAGCUGGAUACUGAUCCAUAUCGUGAGGAUGAUGGUGAAAGUAUCUCGACUGAGGAUAUCGCAAAGAACUGAGGAGAGGAUGUUGCAUUCAGCAUCGGAACGUGCGGGAAUUAAAUCGAUAUCUGUGACUUCGUGAAAAAUAAUGCCAAUUUCCAUGCUAAAGAUAUACAAAAUAAAGUGGCGCAAGUUAUUUGCGCCAACGCAAUUAUCGAUCCAUGGGCAAUGGCUAUUUUGUCACGCCCCAGCAGACACACAACGCUUACAACGUCUGCAAUGCUUGCUGCGUAACGGCUUCCUAAUCAUGCAAUAUACACAAAAGUUGUCUUCGUCAAAUUUCCAGACAUCAAAGAGUUGUGUUAUCGUAUCCCUCUGUUGAUUUCUGCUUCCUAGCUUAGGGACAAACCCGGGAUCUUCGAGCAUUGCGAGACCAUAGAAAUAUGUAGUCAAGCCAAAAAAUAUUAUGAAGAAAAAAUUUAAAAACGGG